ACAAUAAAACAUAUGACAGCUCAGUGUUUGGUCAUCUCACAGUCUGUCUGCUGGUGUUUCUGCCUCAGUUUCUCAUUUUAGGAGUUCUGUGGAUGUGGUUUUUCAUCAGCAUGAACAAAUUAAAAUCUAAAAACAAAACUGAUGACAAACAUGAAGAGACUCAAGUGGUGCACAUCUGGUCUGUGAGUAGAUCAGCUGAACUGCUGGAGCGAUGUCACAACUCUCUCUAUGACAUCAUCACCUAAUCUCUUGGCAGCGACAUCAUUGAUGCAGUGAUGUCACAUACAGUAACAUAAUAAUGACAGUCUUGUGUAGGACAAACAGUAACAUCUCAAUGCUUAAAUCCUGUAAAAACUUUUCUAUGGCACAUCUUUACACAAAUGAUACUGCAAUCUACUCGAUAACAUCUUCACUAUCAGACUUUUAUUGAAUUUCAGAUUGCUUUUCGGUAACACUUUAUUAUAAUGUUCAUGAGUUAACAUUAGUUAAUGUAUUAACUAACAUGAAGAAACCAUGAGCAAUACAUUUGUUACAGUAUUUAUUAAUCUUUGUUAAAGUUAGUUAAUAGAAUAAAGCUGUUCAUUGUUUGUUCAUGUUAGUUCACAGUGCAUUAUCUAACGUUAACCAAAUUUUAAUAAAGUAUUAGUAAUUAUUGAAAUUAACAUUAAUAAAGAUUAAUAAUAGGGCUGGGUAUCGAUUCAGAUUUUCUAGAUCGAUUCAAUUUCGAUUCACAUGCUACCAAAUCGAUUCGAUUUCGAUUGUCGAUUCAAUUUUCGGUUCUGGUUCUCGGACCGUUUUUUAUACUCUAUUCAACCCAAUGAAUAUAGAUUUAUAACAAAUACUAUAUUAAUAAAAAGAACCGUGAACAGCAGGUUAGAAGUGGGUAAUUAAUAAAAUCGACAAAGCACCUGAAACCGCAAUUUUAAGCACUGAAUGAAUGAAUGACAGGCUUGCCUCUUGCUCCUUGUUUACAUGCGCUAGACAAAAAAGAGGGUGACAUCUAGUGAAGAAGACAAGUAAUUCGAUUAAUGUUAAUCUUUCGUUCAAUGUUUGCAGAAAUAAAUAUGAAAGAAAAAAAAAAUCGAUUCUGCUCUUUGAAUCGACCACGUUUUAAAAAACGAUUAAUCGAAAAAUUGAUUUUUUUUCCCAGCCCUAAUUAAUAAAUGCUGCAGGGGCGGUUCUAGGAUUUCAUUCUUAGGGGGGCUUAGCCCUCAGUGAUGAUGUGAAGAAAGCAUUGUGAUGCCUUUUUGCAAAUUGAUUGACUAUUAUUAUAUUCAUAAAUUCAUGUAGGCUACAUACAUUACUCUUCUAUAUUGUUCUAAGCCCUUAUGAUUUUUGAUUUAAGCUAAUAAUAAAAAAACUGUACAGAUAUAAAGGUAUAAAAGUUAUUUAUCACUAUUAUUUAUUAUUGUGUAUCUAUAAUUAAAGUUUAUGUAUACUAUAUGUAUAUUUAAAGUUUAAUGACUACUAACAAUUUAUAUGCGAAUUUAUAUUUAUACAAGUCAGACUUUACUUUUAGUUAUACAUUUUAAAUCAGUUUUACUUUCCAGAUGUCUCAUGCAUGCUUGUAGCAUGCAUAACCUGAUUCAUAAACCUGCACUGAUUCUAAA
Molecule: non-coding RNA, 1610 nt
Organism: Paramisgurnus dabryanus
Lineage: Eukaryota; Metazoa; Chordata; Actinopteri; Cypriniformes; Cobitidae
Source: RefSeq, a predicted model, not a curated record